RNAcentral lists this ribosomal RNA (460 nucleotides) under uncultured bacterium. RNAcentral describes it as "partial 16S ribosomal RNA". It matches the Rfam family "Bacterial small subunit ribosomal RNA", at positions 338 to 795 of the family's 1533-position model. The record is from RNAcentral.
CCUACGGGAGGCAGCAGUGAGGAAUAUUGGUCAAUGGUCGGGCGACUGAACCAGCCAAGCCGCGUGAGGGAUGAAGGUACAGAGUAUCGUCAACCUCUUUUAUCAGGGAAAAAAGGCCGGUACGUAUCCCCGGAUGAGUGUACAUGAAGACAAAGCAUCGGCUAACUCCGUGCCAGCAGCCGCGGUAAUCCGGAGUAUGCGAGCGUUAUCCGGUUUUAUUGGGGUUAAAGGGUGCGCAGGCGGGAUGUUAAGUCAGGUGUUAAAGCACGGGGCUCAACCCGCGCACUGCAGUGGAUAUUGGCAGUAUAGAGUGGGGGAGAGGUAUGCGGAAUGCGCGGUGUAGCGGUGAAAUGCUUAGAGAUCGCGAAGAACUCCGAUUGCGAAGGCAGCAUGCCGGCUCCACACUGACGCUGAGGUACGAAAGCGUGGGUAUCGAACAGGAUUAGAUACCCUUGUAGUC